This 465-nucleotide ribosomal RNA is filed under the name Vreelandella stevensii. RNAcentral's name for it is "partial 16S ribosomal RNA". It matches the Rfam family "Bacterial small subunit ribosomal RNA", at positions 338 to 795 of the family's 1533-position model. The record is from RNAcentral. Lineage: Bacteria; Pseudomonadati; Pseudomonadota; Gammaproteobacteria; Oceanospirillales; Halomonadaceae.
CCUACGGGCGGCAGCAGUGGGGAAUAUUGGACAAUGGGGGCAACCCUGAUCCAGCCAUGCCGCGUGUGUGAAGAAGGCCCUCGGGUUGUAAAGCACUUUCAGUGAAGAAGAACGCCUGGUGGUUAAUACCCAUCAGGAAAGACAUCACUCACAGAAGAAGCACCGGCUAACUCCGUGCCAGCAGCCGCGGUAAUACGGAGGGUGCGAGCGUUAAUCGGAAUUACUGGGCGUAAAGCGCGCGUAGGUGGCUUGAUAAGCCGGUUGUGAAAGCCCCGGGCUCAACCUGGGAACGGCAUCCGGAACUGGCAAGCUAGAGUGCAGGAGAGGAAGGUAGAAUUCCCGGUGUAGCGGUGAAAUGCGUAGAGAUCGGGAGGAAUACCAGUGGCGAAGGCGGCCUUCUGGACUGACACUGACACUGAGGUGCGAAAGCGUGGGUAGCAAACAGGAUUAGAUACCCCAGUAGUC